Long non-coding RNA from Globicephala melas (long-finned pilot whale), 721 nucleotides. RefSeq lists it as uncharacterized. NCBI's taxonomy places the organism in Eukaryota, Metazoa, Chordata, Mammalia, Artiodactyla, Delphinidae. The record is from RefSeq and is a predicted model, not a curated record.
CCUAAAUUGAAGCUACUAUUAGGACAACUAGAGUCUGACAAAUUAGGUUGACUCAGAGGUCCAUGCUCUGCCCAUGCCUGGCGACACAGAGAGUGGAGUGGGUGCUCGGAAAAUGCAGGUGAAAAGGAAGCGUCAUGAAGAAGACAUGAAGGAUUGGUAAAGCUUUGAUAAACUAUGGAACACCAUUCUAAGGAUAAAGGCAAGCAUCAUCAGUAAACUGGGAGGCAAGCCACACUGCUCACGCGUUUUGCAAUCCCUGGAUUUUGAGAUGUUAUUCAAUCCAGAAGGAGUGUGGUUACAGAAAGAACGUGCAACUUGGAAUGAGAAGAACCUGGAUUCCAAUCUUACUUCCUCCGUGAUCAGAAGAGAUGGUGGAUGAGAGUGAGUCCAGAGCAGUGCUUGUUGUAGAGACCCUGCAUGUACAGUAGCCCUGGCUUCGGCCUCAUACUUCUCCUCCUGUGUCCAUUCUGAGUGGCGUUGCUGAGGCUCCUAAUAUGCACCUGGAGUUUACUUAACUUGCUGAAGGUCUGGGCAGAAGGGCAGGACUCUGACCCGCGGCAAAGAUCCGCGAUGCCUGCAGCUGAACGGAGCUCGUGAAUCUGAUGUUUCCUCUGCAUUCUUGAGUUUUCUGCAUUAACCCCCACGUGGAAACACGGACCCACCCACUGGAGGACUGUGAAGAGAAGAUGUGAAGAGGUCUUAGCAGAGCAUCUGGUAUAUA